GAGUUUGGAUUUUGUUGCAACUAAAUCUCAACCCUUAGACCUGCUACAGAUGCCUAGAAGAACUUGCUGGGAAGGAUUUGUUUUUCCGAUAUGUGUGACGUCAUACAAUUUCAUCCUUAACACCGUACUUUCACCGUUUCUGCAAUCAACGACAAUAUCAACCCCAAGAGUUGCAACACCAACAAAACUCCAUUUGUUGAAGGGGAUUGUGGCCAAACAUCUGCAUCUGCCUGCAACACGGUUGCAGCUGGAACCGAUGAACCUAAUCGUACCGGCGUUGAAGACAAAGAGUGUAGCCGCAAACGCCCCCGUGAAUGAAAGUUUCAUGGCUGUCAAACCAUAAGCUUUCGUCAGUUUACAAUUUCCUAAGUUGCUAUGCUUUUUCCUAUUUCGGACUUUGCUAUAUUUUCUCUAUUUCCAGCUUCAGUUUUUUUCAGCCAAUUUCGGCGAAACUCCCACGAGGAGAACUGUGUGUAAGAUUUUAUAUUAAAAAGACAAUGUUUACGGAAUUUUUCAUA
Long non-coding RNA from Brassica rapa (field mustard), 518 nucleotides. RefSeq lists it as uncharacterized. Lineage: Eukaryota; Viridiplantae; Streptophyta; Magnoliopsida; Brassicales; Brassicaceae. The record is from RefSeq and is a predicted model, not a curated record.